This 354-nucleotide ribosomal RNA is filed under the name bacterium LimC-1-J-42. RNAcentral describes it as "bacterial SSU rRNA". It matches the Rfam family "Bacterial small subunit ribosomal RNA", at positions 289 to 635 of the family's 1533-position model. The record is from RNAcentral.
GACCUGAGAGGGUGAUCGGCCACACUGGAACUGAGACACGGUCCAGACUCCUACGGGAGGCAUCAGUAGGGAAUCUUCCGCAAUGGGCGAAAGCCUGACGGAGCAACACCGCGUGAGUGAUGAAGGUCUUCGGAUCGUAAAACUCUGUUAUUAGGGAAGAACAAACGUGUAAGUAACUGUGCACGUCUUGACGGUACCUAAUCAGAAAGCCACGGCUAACUACGUGCCAGCAGCCGCGGUAAUACGUAGGUGGCAAGCGUUAUCCGGAAUUAUUGGGCGUAAAGCGCGCGUAGGCGGUUUUUUAAGUCUGAUGUGAAAGCCCACGGCUCAACCGUGGAGGGUCAUUGGAAACUG